GAUGAACGCUGGCGGCGUGCCUAAUACAUGCAAGUCGAGCGAACGGACGAGAAGCUUGCUUCUCUGAUGUUAGCGGCGGACGGGUGAGUAACACGUGGAUAACCUACCUAUAAGACUGGGAUAACUUCGGGAAACCGGAGCUAAUACCGGAUAAUAUUUUGAACCGCAUGGUUCAAAAGUGAAAGACGGUCUUGCUGUCACUUAUAGAUGGAUCCGCGCUGCAUUAGCUAGUUGGUAAGGUAACGGCUUACCAAGGCAACGAUGCAUAGCCGACCUGAGAGGGUGAUCGGCCACACUGGAACUGAGACACGGUCCAGACUCCUACGGGAGGCAGCAGUAGGGAAUCUUCCGCAAUGGGCGAAAGCCUGACGGAGCAACGCCGCGUGAGUGAUGAAGGUCUUCGGAUCGUAAAACUCUGUUAUUAGGGAAGAACAUAUGUGUAAGUAACUGUGCACAUCUUGACGGUACCUAAUCAGAAAGCCACGGCUAACUACGUGCCAGCAGCCGCGGUAAUACGUAGGUGGCAAGCGUUAUCCGGAAUUAUUGGGCGUAAAGCGCGCGUAGGCGGUUUUUUAAGUCUGAUGUGAAAGCCCACGGCUCAACCGUGGAGGGUCAUUGGAAACUGGAAAACUUGAGUGCAGAAGAUGAAAGUGGAAUUCCAUGUGUAGCGGUGAAAUGCGCAGAGAUAUGGAGGAACACCAGUGGCGAAGGCGACUUUCUGGUCUGUAACUGACGCUGAUGUGCGAAAGCGUGGGGAUCAAACAGGAUUAGAUACCCUGGUAGUCCACGCCGUAAACGAUGAGUGCUAAGUGUUAGGGGGUUUCCGCCCCUUAGUGCUGCAGCUAACGCAUUAAGCACUCCGCCUGGGGAGUACGACCGCAAGGUUGAAACUCAAAGGAAUUGACGGGGACCCGCACAAGCGGUGGAGCAUGUGGUUUAAUUCGAAGCAACGCGAAGAACCUUACCAAAUCUUGACAUCCUUUGACAACUCUAGAGAUAGAGCCUUCCCCUUCGGGGGACAAAGUGACAGGUGGUGCAUGGUUGUCGUCAGCUCGUGUCGUGAGAUGUUGGGUUAAGUCCCGCAACGAGCGCAACCCUUAAGCUUAGUUGCCAUCAUUAAGUUGGGCACUCUAAGUUGACUGCCGGUGACAAACCGGAGGAAGGUGGGGAUGACGUCAAAUCAUCAUGCCCCUUAUGAUUUGGGCUACACACGUGCUACAAUGGACAAUACAAAGGGCAGCGAAACCGCGAGGUCAAGCAAAUCCCAUAAAGUUGUUCUCAGUUCGGAUUGUAGUCUGCAACUCGACUACAUGAAGCUGGAAUCGCUAGUAAUCGUAGAUCAGCAUGCUACGGUGAAUACGUUCCCGGGUCU
This 1372-nucleotide ribosomal RNA is filed under the name uncultured bacterium. RNAcentral's name for it is "bacterial SSU rRNA". It matches the Rfam family "Bacterial small subunit ribosomal RNA", at positions 28 to 1381 of the family's 1533-position model. The record is from RNAcentral.